AAACCGGGGCUAAUACCGGAUAAUAUUUUGAACUGCAUGGUUCGAAAUUGAAAGGCGGCUUCGGCUGUCACUUAUGGAUGGACCCGCGUCGCAUUAGCUAGUUGGUGAGGUAACGGCUCACCAAGGCAACGAUGCGUAGCCGACCUGAGAGGGUGAUCGGCCACACUGGGACUGAGACACGGCCCAGACUCCUACGGGAGGCAGCAGUAGGGAAUCUUCCGCAAUGGACGAAAGUCUGACGGAGCAACGCCGCGUGAGUGAUGAAGGCUUUCGGGUCGUAAAACUCUGUUGUUAGGGAAGAACAAGUGCUAGUUGAAUAAGCUGGCACCUUGACGGUACCUAACCAGAAAGCCACGGCUAACUACGUGCCAGCAGCCGCGGUAAUACGUAGGUGGCAAGCGUUAUCCGGAAUUAUUGGGCGUAAAGCGCGCGCAGGUGGUUUCUUAAGUCUGAUGUGAAAGCCCACGGCUCAACCGUGGAGGGUCAUUGGAAACUGGGAGACUUGAGUGCAGAAGAGGAAAGUGGAAUUCCAUGUGUAGCGGUGAAAUGCGUAAAGAUAUGGAGGAACACCAGUGGCGAAGGCGACUUUCUGGUCUGUAACUGACACUGAGGCGCGAAAGCGUGGGGAGCUAACAGGAUU
This 640-nucleotide ribosomal RNA is filed under the name uncultured bacterium. Its description in RNAcentral is "bacterial SSU rRNA". It matches the Rfam family "Bacterial small subunit ribosomal RNA", at positions 154 to 779 of the family's 1533-position model. The record is from RNAcentral.